RNAcentral lists this ribosomal RNA (252 nucleotides) under uncultured prokaryote. RNAcentral describes it as "partial 16S rRNA". It matches the Rfam family "Archaeal small subunit ribosomal RNA", at positions 475 to 726 of the family's 1478-position model. The record is from RNAcentral.
ACCGGCAGCUCAAGUGGUGGCCAUUUUUAUUGGGCCUAAAGCGUUCGUAGCCGGUUUGAUAAGUCUCUGGUGAAAUCCCGCAGCUUAACUGUGGGACUUGCUGGAGAUACUAUUAGACUUGAGGUCGGGAGAGGUUAGGGGUACUCCCAGGGUAGGAGUAAAAUCCUAUAAUCCUGGGUUGACCACCUGUGGCGAAGGCCGCUAACUGGAACGAGCCUGCCGGUGCGCAAUGUCAGCCCUUGGCGCGAACCG